AACGUAGGAGGCAAGCGUUAUCCGGAUUUACUGGGCGUAAAGCGCGUGCAGGCGGUUUGGAAAGUUGGAUGUGAAAGCUCCUGGCUCAACUAGGAGAGGUCGUUCAAAACUUCCAGACUUGAGGGCAGUAGAGGGAGGUGGAAUUCCGUGUGUAGUGGUGAAAUGCGUAGAUAUACGGAGGAACACCAGUGGCGAAAGCGACCUCCUGGGCUGCAUCUGACGCUCAGACGCGAAAGCUAGGGGAGCAAACGGGAUUAGAGACCCCGGUAGUCCUAGCUGUAAACGAUGUGAACUUGGCGUUGGUGGGUUUAAAUCCAUCAGUGCCGUAGCAAACGCGAUAAGUUCACCGCCUGGGGACUACGGCCGCAAGGUUAAA
This 376-nucleotide ribosomal RNA is filed under the name uncultured bacterium. RNAcentral's name for it is "bacterial SSU rRNA". It matches the Rfam family "Bacterial small subunit ribosomal RNA", at positions 524 to 898 of the family's 1533-position model. The record is from RNAcentral.